AAAUUGAAGAGUUUGAUCAUGGCUCAGAUUGAACGCUGGCGGCAGGCCUAACACAUGCAAGUCGAACGGUAACAGGAAACAGCUUGCUGUUUCGCUGACGAGUGGCGGACGGGUGAGUAAUGUCUGGGAAACUGCCUGAUGGAGGGGGAUAACUACUGGAAACGGUAGCUAAUACCGCAUAACGUCGCAAGACCAAAGAGG
This 201-nucleotide ribosomal RNA is filed under the name Escherichia coli. Its description in RNAcentral is "partial 16S ribosomal RNA". It matches the Rfam family "Bacterial small subunit ribosomal RNA", at positions 1 to 209 of the family's 1533-position model. Lineage: Bacteria; Pseudomonadati; Pseudomonadota; Gammaproteobacteria; Enterobacterales; Enterobacteriaceae. The record is from RNAcentral. RNAcentral also lists the same sequence under 2 other names.